GAAAAAGAUAGCAGUUGAAGCUCAAAUCUUUCCUGAACAUUUCUCUUUUGAAGAAUCGACUUUUAAAAACGAUAUGCUGAUUUGGAAGGCCCCAGGAGUGAUUUGCAAAAUUUAUUUUUUCCAUUCAAUCUAUGGAUUUUUUAACCAUUCCUUGGAGUAGAGGAAAUUCAGAGGAGACCUGUGAUGGGAAAAGCGGCAUGCCGGUGUUUUUGUAGCCCCUGUAUCUUGGAUUAAUUUGUUGUUUUACCGAAGAGAUUCCAUUUUGAAAGGCAGGGACUGAAUGUGAUGGAUUUAUCUUCAGAGAUGAACAGACAUGGGAAGAAUCCAGUAAGUCACAAGCUAGAAGACCAGAAGAAGGCACACAGAAAUACUGAAAUGAAUAAGAUAGAGCCUUUGCUUUCUCUGAAAAACUGUUGGAAUCAUCAAUUGCAAAGUUGAAAAUUACAUAAAAUACAGUUGCCAUUUCUUCUUGAAAGGAUCAUGCAAAGUGUUAUGGAACUCAACAUUAAUCUCUAAAGGACAAUUUCUCUAGAAUGCCUUUCUUGUGAUGAACAAAUGAUUUUUUUGUUCUUUAUUUUUGUCAUCUUGUCCCAAUUCUUUUUUUGAAAAGUUCUCUUCUGACACUGACAUGAGAAAACCCUCUUAAUUUUGUACCUUUAAUUUUGCCUUGAUUAUGAGGAGAAGGGGCAAAGAAUUCAGAGAUAAGUAUUACUUCAAGUUCUAUAUUCUCCUAUAAAUCACAUAUUCUUUGUAAUCUGAAAAUCAGGAUGAAGCAAUCAAAAGACAUUCAUUAAGCAACCACAAUGUCAAACAAAAAAAUGAGACACUUCUUGCCCCUAGGGAGCUUGAGUGCUUCUAUAAUUCAAGUACCUGAAAAUGCUGUGAUAAAAGAACUAAAUAAUUGGAAAUGGAAUAUAAUGUUGUAUAACUAAUUUUUUAUGUCAGCAUGAACAACCCUGCCCUCCCUUGAAUUUGUGAUAAAUUAAGGAGAUGCCUAAUAUGCUUGAG
RNAcentral lists this long non-coding RNA (1008 nucleotides) under Monodelphis domestica (gray short-tailed opossum). RNAcentral's name for it is "lncRNA (ENSMODG00000039532.1)". The record is from RNAcentral. Lineage: Eukaryota; Metazoa; Chordata; Mammalia; Didelphimorphia; Didelphidae.